RNAcentral lists this unclassified non-coding RNA (310 nucleotides) under plant metagenome. RNAcentral describes it as "partial contains 5.8S ribosomal RNA, internal transcribed spacer 2, and large subunit ribosomal RNA". The stretch from base 1 to 105 matches the Rfam family "5.8S ribosomal RNA", at positions 50 to 154 of the family's 154-position model. The record is from RNAcentral.
GAAAUGCGAUAAGUAGUGUGAAUUGCAGAAUUCAGUGAAUCAUCGAAUCUUUGAACGCACAUUUCGCCCCUUGGUAUUCCAUGGGGCAUGCCUGUUCGAGCGUCAUUUGUACCCUCAAGCUCUGCUUGGUGUUGGGUGUUUGUCCCCGUCUCCGCGCGUGGACUCGCCCCAAAGUGAUUGGCAGCCGGCGUACUGGUCCCGGAGCGCAGCACAUGUCGCGCAAACGAGUGCCUUGGUACGGCGGCGUCCAUAAGCCCCUCUCUCACGCUCUUGACCUCGGAUCAGGUAGGGAUACCCGCUGAACUUAAGC